GCACUGCUGAGGAGUCCCAUACAAAGACGAAACGGCCGUCCAGUGC
This is a non-coding RNA of Schistosoma mattheei, 46 nucleotides long. The record is from Rfam. NCBI's taxonomy places the organism in Eukaryota, Metazoa, Platyhelminthes, Trematoda, Strigeidida, Schistosomatidae.